This 141-nucleotide ribosomal RNA is filed under the name Parmelia shinanoana. Its description in RNAcentral is "5.8S ribosomal RNA". It matches the Rfam family "5.8S ribosomal RNA". Rfam says of the family: 5.8S ribosomal RNA (5.8S rRNA) is a component of the large subunit of the eukaryotic ribosome. Lineage: Eukaryota; Fungi; Ascomycota; Lecanoromycetes; Lecanorales; Parmeliaceae. The record is from RNAcentral.
AUCUCUAGGUUCCAGCAUCGAUGAAGAACGCAGCGAAAUGCGAUACGUAAUGUGAAUUGCAGAAUUCAGUGAAUCAUCGAAUCUUUGAACGCAUAUUGCGCCCCUCGGUAUUCCGGGGGGCAUGCCUGUUCGAGCGUCAUU